AACGAACGCUGGCGGCGUGCCUAACACAUGCAAGUCGAACGAGAAAGCCCUUCGGGGUGAGUAGAGUGGCGCACGGGUGAGUAACACGUAGGUGACCUACCUUUUAGUGGGGGAUAACUCGGGGAAACUCGAGCUAAUACCGCAUAUCUUGGUAACAAGAAAGGGUGCUUCGGCAUCCGCUGGAAGAUGGGCCUGCGUAACAUUAGCUUGAUGGUGGGGUAAUGGCCUACCAUGGCUACGAUGUUUAGCUGGUCUGAGAGGAUGAUCAGCCACACUGGAACUGAGACACGGUCCAG
This 296-nucleotide ribosomal RNA is filed under the name uncultured bacterium. RNAcentral describes it as "partial 16S ribosomal RNA". It matches the Rfam family "Bacterial small subunit ribosomal RNA", at positions 29 to 334 of the family's 1533-position model. The record is from RNAcentral.